UACGUAGGGGGCGAGCGUUGUCCGGAAUUAUUGGGCGUAAAGAGCGUGUAGGCGGUUCGGUAAGUCUGCCGUGAAAACCUGGGGCUCAACCCCGGGCGUGCGGUGGAUACUGCCGGGCUAGAGGGUGGUAGAGGCGAGUGGAAUUCCCGGUGUAGCGGUGAAAUGCGCAGAUAUCGGGAGGAACACCGGUGGCGAAGGCGGCCCCCUGGUUGGAUACUGACGCUGAGACGCGAAAGCGUGGGGAGCAAACAGG
Molecule: ribosomal RNA, 253 nt
Filed under: uncultured bacterium
Lineage: Bacteria
Description: partial 16S ribosomal RNA
Rfam family: Bacterial small subunit ribosomal RNA
Source: RNAcentral